RNAcentral lists this ribosomal RNA (253 nucleotides) under uncultured bacterium. RNAcentral's name for it is "partial 16S ribosomal RNA". It matches the Rfam family "Bacterial small subunit ribosomal RNA", at positions 524 to 776 of the family's 1533-position model. The record is from RNAcentral.
GACGUAGGGCGCGAGCGUUGUCCGGAUUUAUUGGGCGUAAAGAGCUCGUAGGCGGCUCAUUGCGUCAACCGUGAAAACCAGCAGCUCAACUGUUGGCUUGCGGUUGAUACGGGUGGGCUGGAGUUCGGUAGGGGAGACUGGAAUUCCUGGUGUAGCGGUGAAAUGCGCAGAUAUCAGGAAGAACACCCGUGGCGAAGGCGGCUCUCUGGAACGCAACUGACGCUGAGACGCGAAAGCGUGGGGAGCAAACAGG